Long non-coding RNA from Homo sapiens (human), 686 nucleotides. NCBI's taxonomy places the organism in Eukaryota, Metazoa, Chordata, Mammalia, Primates, Hominidae. The record is from Ensembl.
GGACCUUGGUAUGCUGAGCACCGGUCCCCUGGGCCCACUGUUGUUUUCUCACGUUUUCUCACCUUUCCAAACGUGUCCAUGCCUAGAAGCUGGAGACCCCAUCCACACUGCAGUACCAGGGAUUCUUCCUGGGCAGUGUAUAGCAGGUAACCAUUUGUGUCCUGGAUGUCUGUCCACCCAAGAGGCCAUGACUUUGCAAAGGCAAGGCAAGGGCAGUGCUGGAUCUCCGGCUCUGCUUCCUCCUCAUCAUCCAAGGAGAGGUCCUGCCUGCCCUGGCUCCCUGGACAUGGGCUUCCAAUGGGCUAUCACAGCUAUUUCCAGGGUAGCAAAAUUCCUGGACUAGAUGUGGGGUGACUGCUGCUGAACAGAGGUGGGCCCCAGGGUGAAGGACCUUGCUCAGCCUCCCCUCAGUUUGGUCUACCAGGCCCUUGUCAAGCACUCUGCUGGAGUCUGGGGGUACUGAUCUUUGGAAAUGUCAGUCCUGGAGGCUGAGCUGUUCCCCAGAGCCCUAGAGACCCCUCACCAACUACUUUAUUGAGGGACAAGGCAGUAGGCAGGAGUGCUGGGAAAUCUGGUUUGCUUGGUAUGCCUUCUUGCACACCCACCUCUCCCUGCACCUGGUUCUAUUUGUAUCUGAGCUUCUCGAACUGCAAUAAUGAUGCAGCCUAGCUGGCUUCUGGAAGCUG